CCUGAAGUCUUUGCAUCUGUUGGUGACGUCAUGGUAAUAAAUGCUGGUUUCUAAGGGAGACUGUCAUCGCCAUCCCAGCAGGAACGCUGGUCUCGUCCUAUCUCAGACACCGAGAGCAAAAGUUCAUCAGUUAUGACCACGAGAGGCUUCAAUGGCAUCUAGACCCCGGGCUACGAAGGUCGUUAAAUGAGAUGAGAGGUGGUGGAGGAACAGACCCAAAUGUCAGACGUUGACGUAGACUACAGAGAUGGAUAAGGAACUAAGCCUUCAAGUGACCACCAAGAGUUUCCUGUGUGUGAGAGCCCAAGAAAAACCCUAUAGGUGUUAUCCCACGGUGCAAGGGGCUUACCGUACUACAGAUACCUUCAACCUUCUGUGGAAAAAAAACUUGCUGGAUGAGUUACAGAAAGAAAGAAAAUGUCUUCUACAACGUGUGCGAGGAUCUUCUUUCUGAUGCCGAAGCUUGGAUGUCUGCCUGGGUAAUUCUUUCAUGGGUAAAGUCUGCUUCAAUUCAUGAAUUCACCCACUUGGACUUGUGCCAUGACCUUGCUAAUUACAAAGACAGA
Long non-coding RNA from Bufo gargarizans (Asiatic toad), 566 nucleotides. RefSeq lists it as uncharacterized. The record is from RefSeq and is a predicted model, not a curated record. NCBI's taxonomy places the organism in Eukaryota, Metazoa, Chordata, Amphibia, Anura, Bufonidae. The transcript is spliced from 3 exons.